This 713-nucleotide unclassified non-coding RNA is filed under the name Hevea brasiliensis (rubber tree). Lineage: Eukaryota; Viridiplantae; Streptophyta; Magnoliopsida; Malpighiales; Euphorbiaceae. The record is from RNAcentral.
ACAGGUCCCUUUGAGAAGUUCAUACGAGUAACAACGAUCUUGCCAUUAACUGGUGAACAAUAUUCAGAGAAGGUUUCUGAGAAUUGUGCUGCUAUUUGGAAAUCAUUGGGAAUUUACACUGAUGCAGAAGCUAAGGCCAUUGAUAAAUUCUUAGAGGUCUUCAAAGCUCAAACCUUUCCACCUGGUUCAUCAAUUCUUUUCACUCAAUUGCCAAAUGGAUCAUUAGCGAUUCGUUUCUCGAAAGAUGGAUCGAUCCCAGAAGCUGAGAAUGCUGUGAUACAAAAUAAACUACUUUCAGAAGCAGUGUUAGAGUCGAUUAUAGGGAAGAAUGGUGUUUCUCCUGCAACAAGAGAGACUAUGGCUACAAGGCUAACAGAGUUAUUUGAGAAAAAUGCUGAAAUAAAUGGAACUAAUCAUAAGCUCUCAACAAUAUCUCCGGCAGUAACUUCCGUUUCUCAGAUUGAAGUCGAAACUGUAGCAUUCCCGCCAGCGGUCAAGCCUCCGGCUUCAAACAAAACUCUAUUCCUCGGUGGCGCAGGGGCUAGAGGACUGGAGAUCCAAGGCAAGUUCGUGAAGUUCACAGCAAUAGGGGUUUACUUGGAGGAUGAAGCAGUGCCGGUACUCGCCGUUAAGUGGAAGGGCAAGAGUGGGAAGGAGCUGACGGAUUCCGUCGAGUUCUUUAGAGACAUCGUUACAGGUCCCUUUGAGAAGUU